RNAcentral lists this ribosomal RNA (484 nucleotides) under uncultured bacterium. RNAcentral's name for it is "partial 16S ribosomal RNA". It matches the Rfam family "Bacterial small subunit ribosomal RNA", at positions 28 to 523 of the family's 1533-position model. The record is from RNAcentral.
GACGAACGCUGGCGGCGUGCUUAACACAUGCAAGUCGAACGAUGAAGCUAGAGCUUGCUCUGGUGGAUUAGUGGCGAACGGGUGAGUAACACGUGAGUAACCUGCCCCGAACUCUGGGAUAACUGCUGGAAACGGUAGCUAAUACCGGAUAUGACCAAUGAAGGCAUCUUCUGUUGGUGGAAAGAAUUUCGGUUCGGGAUGGACUCGCGGCCUAUCAGCUUAUUGGUGAGGUAACGGCUCACCAAGGCGACGACGGGUAGCCGGCCUGGGAGGGUGAUCGGCCACACUGGGACGGAGACACGGCCCAGACUCCUACGGGAGGCAGCAGUGGGGAAUAUUGCACAAUGGGCGCAAGCCUGAUGCAGCAACGCCGCGUGAGGGACGACGGCCUUCGGGUUGUAAACCUCUUUUAGUAGGGAAGAAGCGAAAGUGACGGUACCUGCAGAAAAAGCACCGGCUAACUACGUGCCAGCCGCCGCAGUAA